CACGUAGGGCGCGAGCGUUGUCCGGAAUUAUUGGGCGUAAAGAGCUCGUAGGCGGCCUGUUGCGUCCGCUGUGAAAGCCCGGGGCUUAACCCCGGGUCGGCAGUGGAUACGGGCAGGCUAGAGGUAGGUAGGGGAGAAUGGAAUUCCCGGUGUAGCGGUGAAAUGCGCAGAUAUCGGGAGGAACACCGGUGGCGAAGGCGGUUCUCUGGGCCUUACUUGACGCUGAGGAGCGAAAGCGUGGGGAGCGAACAGG
Molecule: ribosomal RNA, 253 nt
Filed under: uncultured bacterium
Lineage: Bacteria
Description: partial 16S ribosomal RNA
Rfam family: Bacterial small subunit ribosomal RNA
Source: RNAcentral